This 407-nucleotide long non-coding RNA is filed under the name Aquilegia coerulea. Its description in RNAcentral is "long non-coding RNA (ACOE_LNC001717)". Lineage: Eukaryota; Viridiplantae; Streptophyta; Magnoliopsida; Ranunculales; Ranunculaceae. The record is from RNAcentral.
UCAAUUACUGAAUUUAGCAUUGAUUGUGCUCGUUCCUUCUCUCUUCUUAUGCGUUGCCCUAGCUUUGCCUUACUUAUCUCUUCAGUUCCAUUUGAAAAUAUAGCUUCCAAUGACUUUGUUUGAGAAGUUGAAUCACUGCCAUGUAGGUAACAUUAUAAGCAUGUUUAUUUUAUGUUACAAAUAAUGAAAAUUGUUGUUCAUGUAAUUAAAUAAAAUAAAAAAAUUAUAUUAUCUAUGUGCAAUCCUUAUGCAUUGAUUUGAAAAAACUUACAUAGGUUCAAUUACUGAAUUUAGAAUUGAUUGCGCUCGUUCCCUUUCUCUUCUCAAACGUUGUCCUUGUUUUGCCUUACUUAUCUCUUCACUGUUUGUUGAAGAAGUUUUCACACUUUUGACAGGUAUUUUUUUCU